CCAAAAACAAAACUAGUUAGUGGGUCGGUGGGUGACAAUGUCACCUUAGCAGUUGCGAUACGCCGACAGAGCGGGGUGGCUGCGAUGGAAAUUGGGCAGCACCUGCUUUAGGUAGAUUACGGUGCUGGCGAGAGCUUCGCUCACCCUCACGUUGCCUGUGUGUGCAGUUCAGACCCUGAGUGUAAAGGCUGCUGCUGUCGGCGGCUGUGUGUGAGAGUCUGUGUCACAGUGUGUGUGUGGGGGUGUGUGUGGGGGGGUCAGUGUGCACAGGGAUGCGUCUCACAGCCGUGCGGCUUGUCGCCUGAGUAAUCAGAGCGGCGGUUGAAAUUAGAGUCGCUCUCUCAGCCACAGAGAGGGAGAGGAGAGAGAGAGAGAGAGAGCAGAUCUCCUAAAAAAACAAUGCAAUCCAAUCGUCCCAGGAGCAUGCUGCAAAGAGUGGAAAGAAAAUAUAUAAUAUAGGAAGAAAAUUGCAUCACACAAUCCCGACACAAACAGAGACAGAGUGAGAGAGAGAGAGAGAGAGAGAGAGACGGCCACACACCCGGCUGGAAGCUACUUUUCCGAGAGGGCAUCUGUGGGUUCCUCAACAUUCUCCCAUCGAGUCGCGAACACCUCAUGAUCCUGUGGCAGUGAAAGGGAGAGACAGAGGGAGCCGGCCGCAGAGUUUAUUCCACAUUCCAUGGAGAUUGAGAAUUCCCUCUAACUUCUAUACGAGGCUGCCUCUACCAUCUCGGUAUAUUAAUGGUAGGUAUAGCACUGCUGGAAGGACAAUAUUGAAACCCCACUAUAUCUGAACUGACUCUGGCAACCUGAAACGUUAAUGCAAAGAUCUACUCUGUGCUGGUUUUACUCCAGUCUACUUUGUUUUAAAAAUGAUGAAUGCAAUCUUAUUUUUCAUUUGCUUUCUACCAGUUUGUGCUUAUUGAUAUAACCUGGAUGUUACAAAAUUACCUUUAAUUUCCAUUCAUGUUAUUAUUUGAUUGCCUGGAGCAUCAUCCUUGGGCUGUCCACGUUGACAAAUGUUCACUCUAUAUAAGGACAGAAUGACGCUGUGCCCAUGUGUUGCUGCACACAUCCAGAGUCUGCACCUUCUCCGUUCAGACAUUGAGAUCUGGAAGCUCCGCCAUUAUUUGUAUUAAAACAUGGUCAUGGAUAAAAAGA
Leucoraja erinaceus (little skate) is the source of this 1161-nucleotide long non-coding RNA. RefSeq lists it as uncharacterized. The record is from RefSeq and is a predicted model, not a curated record. The transcript has 3 exons. NCBI's taxonomy places the organism in Eukaryota, Metazoa, Chordata, Chondrichthyes, Rajiformes, Rajidae.